RNAcentral lists this ribosomal RNA (468 nucleotides) under uncultured bacterium. RNAcentral describes it as "partial 16S ribosomal RNA". It matches the Rfam family "Bacterial small subunit ribosomal RNA", at positions 35 to 507 of the family's 1533-position model. The record is from RNAcentral.
GGGGGGGGGGGGGGGGGGGGGGGGGGGGGGGGGGUGGGGGGGGGGGGCCGGGGGUGUGUGGGGUGCUCGAGGGGCGAGCGGGUGGGUAACGCGUGAGUAGCGUGCCCUUGACUUUGGGAUAACUUCAGGAAACUGGGGCUAAUACCGGAUAGGAGCUCCUGCUGCAUGGUGGGGGUUGGCAAGUUUCGGCGGUUGGGGAUGGACUCGCGGCUUAUCAGCUUGUUGGUGGGGUAGUGGCUUACCAAGGCUUUGACGGGUAGCCGGCCUGAGAGGGUGACCGGCCACAUUGGGACUGAGAUACGGCCCAGACUCCUACGGGAGGCAGCAGUGGGGAAUAUUGCACAAUGGGCGGAAGCCUGAUGCAGCAACGCCGCGUGCGGGAUGACGGCCUUCGGGUUGUAAACCGCUUUCGCCUGUGACGAAGCGUGAGUGACGGUAAUGGGUAAAGAAGCACCGGCUAACUACGUG